This 371-nucleotide ribosomal RNA is filed under the name uncultured soil bacterium. RNAcentral describes it as "bacterial SSU rRNA". It matches the Rfam family "Bacterial small subunit ribosomal RNA", at positions 26 to 422 of the family's 1533-position model. The record is from RNAcentral.
AGAACGAACGCUGGCGGCAUGCCUAAUACAUACAAGUCGAACGAACUCUUCGGAGUUAGUGGCGCACGGGUGCGUAACGCGUGGGAAUCUGCCCCUUGGUUCGGAAUAACAGUUGGAAACGACUGCUAAUACCGGAUGAUGACGAAAGUCCAAAGAUUUAUCGCCAAGGGAUGAGCCCGCGUAGGAUUAGCUAGUUGGUGAGGUAAAGGCUCACCAAGGCAACGAUCCUUAGCUGGUCUGAGAGGAUGAUCAGCCACACUGGGACUGAGACACGGCCCAGACUCCUACGGGAGGCAGCAGUAGGGAAUAUUGGACAAUGGGGCGAAAAGCCUGAUCCAGCAAUGCCGCGUGAGUGAUGAAGGUCCUUAGGG